Molecule: ribosomal RNA, 2904 nt
Filed under: Pasteurella multocida subsp. multocida str. PMTB
Lineage: Bacteria; Pseudomonadati; Pseudomonadota; Gammaproteobacteria; Pasteurellales; Pasteurellaceae
Description: bacterial LSU rRNA
Rfam family: Bacterial large subunit ribosomal RNA
Source: RNAcentral
GUAUGGUUAAGUGACUAAGCGUACAGGGCGGAUGCCUUGGCAAUCAGAGGCGAUGAAGGACGUGCUAAUCUGCGAAAAGCUUGGAUGAGUCGAUAAGAGGCGUUUAAUCCAAGAUAUCCGAAUGGGGAAACCCAGUAGAUGAAGAAUCUACUAUCAAUAAAUGAAUACAUAGUUUAUUGAGGCGAACCGGGAGAACUGAAACAUCUAAGUACCCCGAGGAAAAGAAAUCAACCGAGAUUCUGUGAGUAGCGGCGAGCGAAAGCGGAAGAGCCAGUAAGUUUUAGCUAGCAUAUUAGAGGAAUUGGCUGGGAAGCCAAAUCAAAGAGGGUGAUAAUCCCGUACUCGAAAGUAUGUUAGUGGAACUAAGCUUACGAUAAGUAAGGCGGGACACGAGAAAUCCUGUUUGAAGAUGGGGGGACCAUCCUCCAAGGCUAAAUACUCCUGAUUGACCGAUAGUGAACCAGUACUGUGAAGGAAAGGCGAAAAGAACCCCGGUGAGGGGAGUGAAAUAGAACCUGAAACCCUGUACGUACAAGCAGUAGGAGCGAGGGCAACCUUGUGACUGCGUACCUUUUGUAUAAUGGGUCAGCGACUUAUAUUUUGUAGCGAGGUUAACUGAAUAAGGGAGCCGAAGGGAAACCGAGUCUUAACUGGGCGUUGAGUUGCAAGGUAUAGACCCGAAACCCGGUGAUCUAGCCAUGGGCAGGUUGAAGGUUGGGUAACACUAACUGGAGGACCGAACCGACUAAUGUUGAAAAAUUAGCGGAUGACUUGUGGCUGGGGGUGAAAGGCCAAUCAAACCGGGAGAUAGCUGGUUCUCCCCGAAAUCUAUUUAGGUAGAGCCUUGAGCGGACACCUUCGGGGGUAGAGCACUGUUUCGGCUAGGGGUCCAUCCCGGAUUACCAACCCGAUGCAAACUGCGAAUACCGAAGAGUGAUACUCAGGAGACACACGGCGGGUGCUAACGUUCGUCGUGGAGAGGGAAACAACCCAGACCGCCAGCUAAGGUCCCAAAGUCUAUAUUAAGUGGGAAACGAAGUGGGAAGGCUUAGACAGCUAGGAUGUUGGCUUAGAAGCAGCCAUCAUUUAAAGAAAGCGUAAUAGCUCACUAGUCGAGUCGGCCUGCGCGGAAGAUGUAACGGGGCUCAAAUAUAGCACCGAAGCUGCGGCAUCAGAAUUUAUUCUGUUGGGUAGGGGAGCGUUGUGUAAGCGGAUGAAGGUGGCUCGAGAGGGUUGCUGGACGUAUCACAAGUGCGAAUGCUGACAUAAGUAACGAUAAAACGAGUGAAAAACUCGUUCGCCGGAAGACCAAGGGUUCCUGUCCAACGUUAAUCGGGGCAGGGUGAGUCGGCCCCUAAGGCGAGGCUGAAAAGCGUAGUCGAUGGGAAACGGGUUAAUAUUCCCGUACUUGGAUAAACUGCGAUGUGGGGACGGAGAAGGUUAGGUUAGCAGACUGUUGGAUGUCUGUUUAAGGUGGUAGGUGGAAGACUUAGGCAAAUCCGGGUCUUUAUAAACACUGAGAGCUGAUGACGAGGUCUUAAGGGACUGAAGUAACUGAUACCCUGCUUCCAGGAAAAGCCACUAAGCUUCAGGUUUAUCUAAACCGUACUGAAAACCGACACAGGUGGUCAGGUAGAGAAUACUCAGGCGCUUGAGAGAACUCGGGUGAAGGAACUAGGCAAAAUAGCACCGUAACUUCGGGGGGAGGUUGGGUUUCCGUUAUUUUUGUUCCUUUGGGGUGGAGGUUGAGUUAGUUGGAGAUACCCGGUGGCUGCAACUGUUUAUUAAAAACACAGCACUCUGCAAACACGAAAGUGGACGUAUAGGGUGUGAUGCCUGCCCGGUGCUGGAAGGUUAAUUGAUGGUGUUAUCGAAAGAGAAGCUCCUGAUCGAAGCUCCAGUAAACGGCGGCCGUAACUAUAACGGUCCUAAGGUAGCGAAAUUCCUUGUCGGGUAAGUUCCGACCUGCACGAAUGGCAUAAUGAUGGCCAGGCUGUCUCCACCCGAGACUCAGUGAAAUUGAAAUCGCCGUGAAGAUGCGGUGUACCCGCGGCUAGACGGAAAGACCCCGUGAACCUUUACUAUAGCUUGACCUUGACCUUUGAUUUUUGUUGUUUGGGUUGGUUGGGGGCUUUUGAGGCGUUGCCGCCGUUCUUUGUGGGGGGGCCUUUGAAUUCCCCCCUUUUACGUUUUGUUUUUUUACGGAGUUGCUUGAACGGGUUCUUGGGCCGUUUUUUGUUGGUUGUUUUGCUUGGGGGGUUUUCUUCCCAAGGGUUACGGAGGAGCACGAAGGUUUGCUAAUGACGGUCGGACAUCGUCAGGUUAGUGCAAUGGUAUAAGCAAGCUUAACUGCGAGACAGACAAGUCGAGCAGGUGCGAAAGCAGGUCAUAGUGAUCCGGUGGUUCUGAAUGGAAGGGCCAUCGCUCAACGGAUAAAAGGUACUCCGGGGAUAACAGGCUGAUACCGCCCAAGAGUUCAUAUCGACGGCGGUGUUUGGCACCUCGAUGUCGGCUCAUCACAUCCUGGGGCUGAAGUAGGUCCCAAGGGUAUGGCUGUUCGCCAUUUAAAGUGGUACGCGAGCUGGGUUUAGAACGUCGUGAGACAGUUCGGUCCCUAUCUGCCGUGGGCGUUGGAUGAUUGAUUGGGGCUGCUCCUAGUACGAGAGGACCGGAGUGGACGCAUCACUGGUGUUCCAGUUGUCUCGCCAGAGGCAUUGCUGGGUAGCUAAAUGCGGAAGAGAUAAGUGCUGAAAGCAUCUAAGCACGAAACUUGCCAAGAGAUGAGUCAUCCCUGACUUUAAGUCAGUAAGGGUUGUUGUAGACUACGACGUAGAUAGGUUGGGUGUGUAAGUGUAGUGAUACAUUGAGCUAACCAAUACUAAUUGCCCGAGAGGCUUAACCAUA